GGACCAGACUCCUACGGGAGGCAGCAGUUAGGAAUUUUUGCGCAAUGGGCGAAAGCCUGACGCAGCAACGCCGCGUGAGGGAUGAAGGCCUUGGUUGUAAACCUCUUUUAGUCAGGGAAGAACACAAUGACGGUACCUGCAGAAAAGACACCGGCUAACUCUGUGCCAGCAGCCGCGGUAAUACAGAGGGUGCAAGCGUUAUUCGGAAUUACUGGGCGUAAAGAGCGCGUAGGCUGUUUGAUAAGUUUGAUGUGAAGCCCUGGACUCAAUUCAGGAAGUGCAUCGAAUACUGUCAGACUAGAGUAUAGGAGAGGAGAACGGAAUUCCUGGUGUAGAGGUGAAAUUCGUAGAUAUCAGGAGGAACAACAGUAGCGAAGGCGGUUCUCUGGACUAUUACUGACGCUGA
RNAcentral lists this ribosomal RNA (406 nucleotides) under uncultured bacterium. Its description in RNAcentral is "bacterial SSU rRNA". It matches the Rfam family "Bacterial small subunit ribosomal RNA", at positions 328 to 749 of the family's 1533-position model. The record is from RNAcentral.